This 388-nucleotide ribosomal RNA is filed under the name uncultured Alphaproteobacteria bacterium. RNAcentral's name for it is "bacterial SSU rRNA". It matches the Rfam family "Bacterial small subunit ribosomal RNA", at positions 9 to 423 of the family's 1533-position model. Lineage: Bacteria; Pseudomonadati; Pseudomonadota; Alphaproteobacteria. The record is from RNAcentral.
GAGUUUGAUCGUGGCUCAGAACGAACGCUGGCGGCAGGCUUAACACAUGCAAGUCGAACGCGUGUAGCAAUACACGAGUGGCGCACGGGUGAGUAACACGUGGAUAUCUGCCUUUUGGUUCGGAAUAACCCUGGGAAACUAGGGCUAAUACCGGAUGGUUCCUACGGGAUAAAGAUUUAUCGCCAAAAGAUGAGUCCGCGUCCGAUUAGCUAGUUGGUGAGGUAAUGGCUCACCAAGGCGACGAUCGGUAGCUGGUCUGAGAGGACGAUCAGCCACACUGGGACUGAGACACGGCCCAGACUCCUACGGGAGGCAGCAGUGGGGAAUAUUGGACAAUGGGGGCAACCCUGAUCCAGCCAUGCCGCGUGAGUGAUGAAGGCCUUCGGUU